RNAcentral lists this long non-coding RNA (1249 nucleotides) under Setaria viridis. RNAcentral describes it as "long non-coding RNA (SVIR_LNC005706)". Lineage: Eukaryota; Viridiplantae; Streptophyta; Magnoliopsida; Poales; Poaceae. The record is from RNAcentral.
GUUACUCCUAACCUCUACCCUAAGUCUAAAACUCGACCCUGAUCUAUGAAACCAUCAAUUGACAUCUUCGAUCUCCUCAAACCAACCCUCCUCGACCCAUACCAGUCUGGUUUUCGUAGAAGGGAAGGGAGCGUGGCCGAAUGGAGGUCUUGGGCGACGCCUCGGUGUGGUGCUUCUGCUUCGGCAGUACCAAGCUAGAGCAGAUCAAGUCCAGCCUCCUCGCCGUAAAAGGUGCCGUCGACGAGCAUUAUCCUUCCCCAAUGGUUGCGUGGCAGAGGGUUGCCUCCAGCUCCCCCACACACGGGUGUCAGGAUCUCCUGAUUUCUUUCUCUCUCACGCUCAGGUAGAAUCCUUUAGGAUUUCUUUCAUCCUCAUCUCCGUUCUUCUUACUUUGACGUCUUAUAUGUGCAUGCCUGCUUGCCUUCCAAUCCAUGGAGGAAGCUGCUGUGCUGCAUCCAUCCAAGCACCUCACAAAAGUCCGCUCUGCCCACCUCUCCUAUUUUUGCAGCUCAUCUUCUGAAGCAGUCCUAGUCACGGAAUCACCCGCCUCGUAACAAGUUUGCCGGUGCCGGCGCGCUCGACGACUCCUUCGGAUUCCUCUUCUCCACGCAUGCUCUUCCUCUACUACUCCGGCAAGCGGCAACACAUCUGUUUUGAUUCCCCUUUGCUGACUAGGAUGACUAGCUGAUGGGAAUGCUAGCAAGGCAGAAAACCAGACUGGUUCAGGUUGUGGGUGUUCGAUGUCUGGUUUGAGGAGAUCGAGGGUAUCAAUUAGACAGUUUUAUAGAUCGGGGUUGAGUUUUAGACUUAGAGCAGAGGUCUCCCUUCGAUAAAACCACGUGCGUUAGUAUCAACUAUCAAAAUGAGCAGCAGCUUAUAUUUGAAUUUGAGGUCGCUCGUUAAUCAUCACUUAGGAUGGAUUUGUUUUCUAUGUCUAAGCAGAUGCAUUGUUUUCAAUUUCUAAAAAGUGUCCAUUUGUGACGGGUGGAAUGAAACAUACAUACAAAGGAGAUUGUAAUAUCUUUCUUCGUUGCCGUGGAAUAGAGUUGCAAAGGCACGACGAAAAUGUGUUUAGACAAGUAUAAAAUAUUUAUUUUUUCCUUUUUAAUUGAACGAGCUUGAUUUGUUCGUUUUUUAUUUUUAAUUUUGACACAAAGAGUUUGAUUGGUUUCAUGCCAAAAUAUUGGCAUGCCAAAAUUUUGGCCACUAUUUGGUUAGUACCAAAUUUUGCCCGUACCUUCUAUUUAUC